RNAcentral lists this ribosomal RNA (446 nucleotides) under uncultured bacterium. Its description in RNAcentral is "bacterial SSU rRNA". It matches the Rfam family "Bacterial small subunit ribosomal RNA", at positions 331 to 792 of the family's 1533-position model. The record is from RNAcentral.
CCAGACUCCUACGGGAGGCAGCAGUGGGGAAUAUUGCACAAUGGGCGCAAGCCUGAUGCAGCAACGCCGCGUGAGCGAAGAAGGUCUUCGGAUCGUAAAGCUCUGUCCUUGAGGAAGAAGGAAGUGACGGUACUCAAGGAGGAAGCCCCGGCUAACUACGUGCCAGCAGCCGCGGUAAUACGUAGGGGGCAAGCGUUAUCCGGAAUUAUUGGGCGUAAAGAGUACGUAGGUGGUUUUGUAAGCGCGGGGUGAAAGGCAGUGGCUUAACCAUUGUAAGCCUUGCGAACUGCAAGACUUGAGUGCAGGAGAGGAAAGCGGAAUUCCUAGUGUAGCGGUGAAAUGCUUAGAUAUUAGGAGGAACACCAGUGGCGAAGGCGGCUUUCUGGACUGUAACUGACACUGAGGUACGAAAGCGUGGGGAGCAAACAGGAUUAGAUACCCGAGUA